RNAcentral lists this ribosomal RNA (459 nucleotides) under uncultured bacterium. Its description in RNAcentral is "partial 16S ribosomal RNA". It matches the Rfam family "Bacterial small subunit ribosomal RNA", at positions 338 to 795 of the family's 1533-position model. The record is from RNAcentral.
CCUACGGGAGACAGCAGUGAGGAAUAUUGGUCAAUGGGCUAAGGCCUGAACCAGCCAAGUCGCGUGAGGGAAGACGGUCCUAUGGAUUGUAAACCUCUUUUGUCGGGGAGCAACGAGGCCACGUGUGGCCGAAGUGAGAGUACCCGAAGAAAAAGCAUCGGCUAACUCCGUGCCAGCAGCCGCGGUAAUACGGAGGAUGCGAGCGUUAUCCGGAUUUAGUGGGUUUAAAGGGUGCGCAGGCGGAUUUUUAAGUCAGCGGUCAAAUCGUGGGGCUCAACCCCAUCCAGCCGUUGAAACUGGGGAUCUAGAGUGUGCGAGAGGUAUGCGGAAUGCGUGGUGUAGCGGUGAAAUGCAUAGAUAUCACGCAGAACCCCGAUUGCGAAGGCAGCAUACCGGUGCACAACUGACGCUCAGGCACGAAAGCGUGGGUAUCGAACAGGAUUAGAUACCCUAGUAGUC